RNAcentral lists this transfer RNA (61 nucleotides) under Amblyomma ovale. RNAcentral describes it as "tRNA-Thr". Lineage: Eukaryota; Metazoa; Arthropoda; Arachnida; Ixodida; Ixodidae. The record is from RNAcentral.
GUUUUAAUAAUUUAAAAAAAAUAUUGAUUUUGUAAAUCAAUUUUGGUUUAACCUUAAAACA